Molecule: long non-coding RNA, 5006 nt
Filed under: Physcomitrium patens
Lineage: Eukaryota; Viridiplantae; Streptophyta; Bryopsida; Funariales; Funariaceae
Description: long non-coding RNA (PPAT_LNC002179)
Source: RNAcentral
AGCGCAGCACCAUGACCAAGCCACCUUGUCAAUGGCAGGUCAUCGGAAACCCCUACCACAUGACUGGCAUUCCAAAAACUCCUGGAACUGAGUAAAAUUAACAUUAACUUUAAGUGCCCACUCUCGUGACUAAGGAAUGAGAAGAUAUCCACACCGUAAGCUGUGGAGUUUGUGAAGUGCACAAUCAGCACUUAAUGGUGGAACGCAAAGGGAUGGCUCCACGGAUACGCUUCACAUACGCUUGGUACUCGCUGUAGUGCAUGGUGUACAGAGAGCUCUGAUACCGAGUGAUGCGGAACUUGCGUCUCAUGGACUCUGUGAUUUGUCCCGAGUAUCCCGCCUUCCGGACAAGAGAAUCCACUGUUUCUAUUUUCGUCCAUCCUACGCAAUAGCCCAAUUUCGCCGUUUCGUAAGCCUCGAACUGACCAGUAGACAGUAGAAAAUAGGAAGAAAACUUCUAAACUUCAUAAGCAUGAUAUGACGGCAUUAUUGUAUAACGCUUCGCACAGACGAUGACUCAGACACAAUGAAGUAACGAAGCUACUGUGUUGAGGCUAAAGCAGCAGACAACCAGGACGUAGAUUAAAAUGUCUACCUUCCUGCGCGGCAACCUCGGGUAAAUAGGUGGCACUCCUCCUCGUGCCGUCAGGGUCGGUGAACUCUAAAAUCAUUCCAUGUUCGCCAAUCUAAAAUCCAGAGCCAAGACAAAUGGUCGUAACGAUGUUCUCUAACACAACUCCUACAGCUAACUCAAAUCCUAACUCAAAUACAUAAAAACAAAAAAUAGGAAGAAAAAACUUGUGCGCACUACAUACAGGAGCCAAAUAAUAAUAAUAGUAAUCUUCAAGGUUACCUGAUACCCUGUGAGUUAAACAAUCAGGCGGGACAGGUUUCUAUUAAAAAAAACAAACAAUCAAAAAAGUAAAUUAUGUCCUGCGUACCUCCCAGUCAAGGUAAUGAGCUGCGGUUUCGUAAUCUGUUAAGAGUGACACCGUGCAUUCCAAGUAAGGGAGCUCGCGUGCCUGAAUUGGAGGGAAGCGGCGGUCUCGGAGAGCACUGCAAAAUAAAACUUCUCUGUUUAAGAUCCCUAUGUAAUACCCAUCACAGCACAUUCAUCAAAGCACCUGAUGGAUCUGCACCACCCCCAAAUUUAAGGGAGACAAAAACAGCAAUGUGAAGGUGAUCGAGUGGCCAGUAUGGUAAAAACAGACAGAAAAAUCCCGAAUAAACGAAGAAACAGUCCAGUCCAGAGCUGAACUAACUACCUUGUGAGCGCAUAAUCUUUGAACCCGGUGAUGAUAUAUCGGGCUUCAAGCGUGCCAAUGCACCCCCGCAAGCGUGGUUCCCCACCAUUCAAUACUUUCUUCCAUGUAACAAAUAAAGGGCUGUCACAGAACCCACAAAUCACAGUCAACACCCAAACUCUGAAAACAUACGCUCCGGCGAAUUGGGACUCUCUGAAGACAUACAUGCGGUAAACAAGCCCUGAACUUGGACCGCCAUGAUACCCAACCCUGGGCAACAAUUCUCACCACACGGAGACAGAUACAGAACGAAUAAGAACGCGUUACACCUAUGUCAUUUCAAUAUUAAUUUUAGCAGAGAGGACGGGACAAGAAAACAUGGGAAUCCUCAGCAGCAUAAGCAAUUACACUGAUACCCAUGAAUAGACAUGAUAGAGAGAGUCACGCAACCCUAAACAAUGAGGACAGAGACACCAAGCAUACAGCGUCAAAUUCCAUGAAAAGUGGUUGAUAAGAGUAUAAAAGGUGGAAAACAAAGAGCAGUUCGACACGUCUGCUUACAUGGAACUGCAAUGCUCAAGAGAAACAAUCAGGUUGGCAACCACGAGGUAAGUACCACAACAAAGACCAGCAGUAACUAAAAUCCCAGUGACAAAAGAACCACGAUGUACCCGAACAGAAGACAGCAGGCACACGGAGAAGAAAAAGGCUGUCUCUACAUGCCCAGCCUACUCGCUAUGGAAACAAAAAUAUAGCUCCAACAAGCGAGAAUUCAUGAAGGAGAUUGAGUAACAACGAACAACAAUGGAAACUUCCCAUACCUGAACAACAAGACAUGAUACUAAAGGGAAAGUCAACAUGGAAAAAGAGAAUUGAAGGAAAUACAAACAAGCAUGCAAGGAGAGAAAGUAAUAAGAAUAAUAAUAAUAAUUGGAAAAGCGCGAAGCUUACAACUGCCCUUCUUCGAACGCAGGUGGGGGUACAGCAUCGCCCGUGUAAUGGGCGACUAGCGUGUCAAAGCAAUAGGCCGCCAUCUCCAUGCUGGCAGACACCAUCUUCACCCACUUGCCCUCGCCUUCUUCCUCCCCCGCAAUUCUUACGAUACUGUCACCAAUCCAUGCAACCAAAGCCCGCCCGCACUUGGACCACCACUCCACCCUCCUCUCCUCUACCUCUCCCGAAACGCGACCACUCUCACAAUCUCUGCUUCCCCCAACAAAAGCUUAUCAACCCAAUCCACCAAGUCAGCGCCAACAAGUCUCCAAUACUUCCCACGCUGCACCCCACAACCCAAUUCAACCCCGCCCUUCUACGACAACAAGGCAAACCCACUCCCCACGAACGAUGCCGAUCCAAUCGAGGUUUAGCCUGUACUUUAAGGCUGCGGGAAGGGGGGAGGGGAGGGGGGCUGUGUCACGACACGGAGAACAACAACACAACGAUGGCGGAGGGGAGAGAAUCCCACGCCAAGGUGCUACUUCCACACAGGAAUUUCCGCAGCAUUGUGACUCUCACGCAUCCUCCCUUCCCUUCCUCUAAAUCCCCAUCGUCACUUCCAACGCACAUCCCUAAAUAGUUCCCCCCGAGGGCGUCAUCACCCCUUUUCCUUCAUCUGCCCCCCCCUUGGGUUGCCCUGGCCCUGGUCCUGCCUGCCCACCCCUUCCCUUCCCAUCCCCCCUCGCUUGCUGUGGGUUCUUCGGUUGGUUCGGUUGGUUGGUUCUUCACGGUCCCGCUUCCGGCACGCUUCCUGCCUCCGCCUUGAUUGCCGGAAUCAUUGCCCUGUGCCGUCUUUGGAUCUUCACCAGCCCACUACAAAUACUAAUACUACUAAUACUACUUCUUUGACUAGGAGGAGGAAGAAUCGCUACCACCAUUCUCCACCAUUCUCCACCAUCCUCAUCUUCAUCAUUAAAGCUGUGCACACCAUCGCCAUUCCAUCCGCCAUCAUUACUGUGUGCCUUUCGGGGGAGGGGGGAGAGAGGCACGGCGUGCUCCAGAUCCCCAUGCCCGGACGGGAUCACCUACCGACGGACGGGGGUGAUGGAGUGGAUGGAUGUGUGGAUGGAUGCCUAGUUCUUAAUUCCGUGCUGCUCUUCGCCGAUAGGAACGCCCUCCCUUCAUGGGCUUUUGCCUUUUCCUGGCGGACACGUCACUAGCGUGCCCUUGCAUGCGUCGUUCCCCUCUGUUCCACUUCGUUCUGAAUUGGGAUGCCCUACAGUUCUUUUUACGUUCGCUGUGGGUUGGGAACGUGGUUCGGUCUUUGCAGGGUUGGGUUUGGAAAUAGAGGGUUGGACAACCGAGCCGUCAAGUCAAAGUCUCCCUCAUGAAGAGGAGGAGGAGGCCUAGUUGGCUUUCAUAUCUACCACUUCCUUUUUUUUUCCUAUUCUUUUUUUUUCUUUUUCUUUUUCUUUUUCUUUUUGGGUACUUUUGGGGGAAUUUUCCAAAGAUGCAUGUAGUAUGUGCACAUACUAUUUCUGCAAUACUAAUAAUAAUUACUGUUAGAAUGACAUAACAUAAAUACUUGCAUUUGAGCUUUUAAUGAGUUUUAUUAUUUUGUAUAUGAUACAUGAACAAGGUUUUAUUUGGAAAUAACCACAUAAGAUAUAUAUCAACAUUAACAAAUAAAUAAAUUUCAUUCAAAUAUGGUAUUCCAUUAAAUUCCUAAAGGAAAAAAAUAGAUUAUAUUAAAUUACAACUCAAAUAAUAAUUAAGACUUACACUUGUUUUUCUCUACUCAAUAUUAGAAGUAGUGAACCACAAAAUUGUUUGUGAAAAGCUGUUGAAAUUAAUGAAAAAGCAUUAUUCAAGUAUACUUGACAUAUGAAUUAAAAAAAAAUGAUAAAUAAAAGUAAUUGUUCAAUUGAUCCACCUAUCAUCAUUGAUUAAGGUUGAAACCAUUUUUUUUCAUUGCAAUUUGACCAAUGUUGAUUUGGUAGUUGAGAAUUUUUUUGAUGAUUGUAAUGAUGGGUGGGUCAAUUUGAUAGAUGCUUGGGUCAAUUCAAAAAUACAUCAAAAUUUAAGAUUUUGUAAAAUAAAAAAUCAGUUAAAAAAUAAAAAAUACACAUAAAUAUAUAAUAAAUCAAACUAAAACUAUAUAUAUAAUAUAAAUAUAUAUAUAUAUAUAUAUAAAAACACAUAUAACUAUUGAUUCUUUAGUAUCAAUUUAUUAUAUGAAACCACAAAAAAUUAAUAAUACAAAAUAAUAAAAUAAGAAUUUUAAUUCCAUUCUUAGAAAAAAAAAAAAAAAAAAAAAACUAAUAAGUUAUAUAUAUAUAUAUAUAUAUAUAUAUAUAUAUUGGUUGCACAACUCUUUAAAUAUCAUUAUUUUUUACAUCUUCAUUUAAAAUUUAACAUUUAAAAUUUUUAUAUUUCAACAUAUUUUUGAAAAAAAAAAAAAAAAGUAAAAUAAGUAUUAAGUUAAAUUAAAAUCACAACUUUAGUAUUGUUCCAUGAUUUAUAAGAUUUUGUACUCUUUUCACUUUCUAAACCAACAGUCUUUAUAAUGUUAUAUUUAGAAUAAAACUCAUACACACACACAUAUAUAUAUAUAUAUAUAGAUUUUUACUUCAUUACAUAAUUACUUAGAAUAGUAAUAAUCCAUAACUUUAAAAAAUACAUAUUUACUUAAAGAUAUGAAAUUAAGAUAGUAAAUUAGAGAAAAACUAUGAAUAAAUUAAAAAUUAAAUGAAAAAGAGUCAUAAUAUAUGUAAUUUGAUGAAAUGAUAAGAAGCAAACGGUGCACAUUUUGUAGAUAAUGUUAAU